This 216-nucleotide long non-coding RNA is filed under the name Gossypium raimondii (Peruvian cotton). Its description in RNAcentral is "long non-coding RNA (GRAI_LNC008446)". The record is from RNAcentral. Lineage: Eukaryota; Viridiplantae; Streptophyta; Magnoliopsida; Malvales; Malvaceae.
UGGGGGGAAAUUUUUUUUUCUUUCAACUUUUGUUUGUGUAGGGUUAAGAGAUCAAACCCAACCCCCUUUUAUACUUAAAUACAUAUAAUUUUUUAAAGAUUUAAAAAAAGGCUUAAAACUCGAUUUGGGAGCCGAACUUGUGGCUGACCGGUCACGUCGGUGGUAAGUUGGUGCCAUCGAGCUGUCAAGCAACAUCGGCUUGACAGCCUACCAUCG